UACAUGGGGUGCAAACGUUGCUCGGAAUUAUUGGGCGUAAAGCGCACGUAGGCGGUUCGUUAAGUCGGAUGUGAAAGCCCUCGGCUCAACUGAGGAAGUGCACCCGAAACUGGCGAGCUUGAGUACGAAAGAGGAUCGCGGAAUUCCCGGUGUAGAGGUGAAAUUCGUAGAUAUCGGGAGGAACACCGGUGGCGAAGGCGGCUACCUGGACCAGCAUUGACACUCAAGCACGAAAGCGUGGGGAGCAAACAGG
RNAcentral lists this ribosomal RNA (253 nucleotides) under uncultured bacterium. Its description in RNAcentral is "partial 16S ribosomal RNA". It matches the Rfam family "Bacterial small subunit ribosomal RNA", at positions 524 to 776 of the family's 1533-position model. The record is from RNAcentral.